This 253-nucleotide ribosomal RNA is filed under the name uncultured bacterium. RNAcentral's name for it is "partial 16S ribosomal RNA". It matches the Rfam family "Bacterial small subunit ribosomal RNA", at positions 524 to 776 of the family's 1533-position model. The record is from RNAcentral.
UACGUAGGGUGCGAGCGUUGUCCGGAAUUAUUGGGCGUAAAGAGCUUGUAGGCGGUCUGUCGCGUCUGCUGUGAAAAUCCGGGGCUCAACCCCGGAUCGGCCGUGCGGACUGCCGGGCUCGAGCACUGUAGGGGCGGGUGGAACUCCGGGUGUAGCGGUGGAAUGCGUAGAGAUCCGGAAGAACACCGGUGGCGAAGGCGGUGAGCUGGGCAGUUGCUGACACUGAGGCGCGACAGCGUGGGGAGCAAACAGG